Ochotona princeps (American pika) is the source of this 107-nucleotide small nuclear RNA. The record is from Ensembl. Lineage: Eukaryota; Metazoa; Chordata; Mammalia; Lagomorpha; Ochotonidae.
GUGCUAACUUUAGCAGCACAAAUACUAAAAUUGGCACAAUAUAGAGAAGAUGAGCAUGGCCCCUUACAAGGAUGAUAGGAAUAUAUUGUGUAUAAACGUCUGGUGGU